Molecule: ribosomal RNA, 439 nt
Filed under: uncultured bacterium
Lineage: Bacteria
Description: partial 16S ribosomal RNA
Rfam family: Bacterial small subunit ribosomal RNA
Source: RNAcentral
CUACGGGAGGCACCAGUGAGGAAUAUUGCACAAUGGAGGAAACUCUGAUGCAGCAACGCCGCGUGGAGGAUGACGCAUUUCGGUGUGUAAACUCCUUUUAUAUGUCAAGAAAAUGACGGUAGCAUAUGAAUAAGCACCGGCUAACUCCGUGCCAGCAGCCGCGGUAAUACGGAGGGUGCAAGCGUUACUCGGAAUCACUGGGCGUAAAGGACGCGUAGGCGGGAUAUCAAGUCAGGUGUGAAAUCCUACAGCUUAACUGUAGAACUGCACUUGAAACUGGUAACCUCGAGUAUGGGAGGGGGAGAUGGAAUUAGUGGUGUAGGGGUAAAAUCCGUAGAUAUCACUAGGAAUACCUAAAGCGAAGGCGAUCUCCUGGAACAUAACUGACGCUAAGGCGUGAAAGCGUGGGGAGCAAACAGGAUUAGAUACCCGUGUAGUC